Myotis brandtii (Brandt's bat) is the source of this 75-nucleotide non-coding RNA. Lineage: Eukaryota; Metazoa; Chordata; Mammalia; Chiroptera; Vespertilionidae. The record is from Rfam.
GGCGGUUCUAGGGUGAUGCACCCCAGAAUCAGGCUCCCUCCUCUCUGGUUCUGGAUGCGUCACCGGAGAACCACA